GAUGAACGCUGGCGGCGUGCCUAAUACAUGCAAGUCGAGCGAACGGACGAGAAGCUUGCUUCUCUGAUGUUAGCGGCGGACGGGUGAGUAACACGUGGAUAACCUACCUAUAAGACUGGGAUAACUUCGGGAAACCGGAGCUAAGACCGGAUAAUAUUUUGAACCGCAUGGUUCAAAAGUGAAAGACGGUCUUGCUGUCACUUAUAGAUGGAUCUGCGCUGCAUUAGCUAGUUGGUAAGGUAACGGCUUACCAAGGCAACGAUGCAUAGCCGACCUGAGAGGGUGAUCGGCCACACUGGAACUGAGACACGGUCCAGACUCCUACGGGAGGCAGCAGUAGGGAAUCUUCCGCAAUGGGCGAAAGCCUGGCGGAGCAACGCCGCGUGAGUGAUGGAGGUCUUCGGAUCUUAAAACUCUGUUAUUAGGGAAGAUCAUAUGUGUAAGUAAGUGUGCACAUCUUGACGGUACCUAAUCAGAAAGCCACGGCUAACUACGUG
RNAcentral lists this ribosomal RNA (497 nucleotides) under uncultured bacterium. RNAcentral describes it as "partial 16S ribosomal RNA". It matches the Rfam family "Bacterial small subunit ribosomal RNA", at positions 28 to 507 of the family's 1533-position model. The record is from RNAcentral.